GUUCCUGCCCCGCACAUAGAGAAGGAAGUGGAGAGGAAUUCUGCCUGUUGCUGCAAUUUCACUCUCUAUUGUUCUGUCCCUACAAACUCCUCAGUGGAAUGGUACCAUUGGCAGAAAGGGAAUAAUGAGACUGGGCACCUGCACUAUAUGAAUGGAUCCUCCAUCCAGGUGUCACUGCACAGCCAAUCACUGAGGACUUUGGAUGAGGAGUUUAGCUGCACUGUGUAUAACCCAGCCAAUCAGAAAAGCACCUCCAUUCACAUAAAGGACAUCUGCACUCUAAUGACAGACAGAGAAUUGCAACGAUAUUAUUUAUGGUUCAUCCCACUCUUUCUCAUUAUUUUAAUCGCGUUGCUUGUAUGCUUGGCUGUUGCGAGGAAGAAGAGGAAAAGAUACCAGCAUGUGUAUUAGACAAGAAAGGGAUCCUCUCUGAAACAGAGCUCGAUUAACCCUGAAAAAAAAAACAGUAUUUGCACAGAACAGAGUGUAAAACAAUUUACUUUGAGCCAUGUGAUCAGAGACAAACAACAGAGGAAGCCAAAAUCAUCAAAAUCAUGAAAAAUACCAGGCCCCGAGACCCAGUUGCCUAAAAAGACAGUCUUGUAAUACAAAACACAUCUGCAGUAAGAAGGAAAUAAUUCACAACCCUUUAAUUACAUCACUGAAGAGAACAGAGAGGACUGACAAUGUUAAAGUAUUAUAUGAGAUAUUGUUACAAAAUAUUCACAAGGGUCAUCAAGCAUUUUUUUGGAAAAGCUGCUGCUGUU
Xenopus tropicalis (tropical clawed frog) is the source of this 767-nucleotide long non-coding RNA. RefSeq lists it as uncharacterized. The record is from RefSeq and is a predicted model, not a curated record. The transcript has 4 exons. NCBI's taxonomy places the organism in Eukaryota, Metazoa, Chordata, Amphibia, Anura, Pipidae.